This 285-nucleotide long non-coding RNA is filed under the name Struthio camelus australis. RNAcentral describes it as "lncRNA (ENSSCUG00000018543.1)". Lineage: Eukaryota; Metazoa; Chordata; Aves; Struthioniformes; Struthionidae. The record is from RNAcentral.
UUUUUACAGGGGAUCCCGGUCAGCCAGGUCAGCGUGGCCUGCCAGGCAUCCCAGGUGCAAAGGGAGAGCCAGGUAUUCCUGGCAUUGGACUUCCAGGUCCACCAGGCCCAAAAGGUUUCCCAGGUACUCCAGGCCCCCCCGGAGCUCCGGGAACUCCAGGUCGCCCUGGUCUAGAUGGACCUCCUGGACCACCUGGUUUCCCAGGACAGAAGGUCUGUGUUUGCUUGUUUACUGUAAAGCUUCACUUUCUUGGAGGUUCUCCUGCAUAAGCAGGAAGUCGGUGGG